RNAcentral lists this small RNA (98 nucleotides) under Vibrio vulnificus. Lineage: Bacteria; Pseudomonadati; Pseudomonadota; Gammaproteobacteria; Vibrionales; Vibrionaceae. The record is from RNAcentral.
AGUAACAUUCUUACCACUCACAUAGCAACACCGUUUAGCGCAGGCUCUUAAGAGCCAUUUCCCCUAGGCCCACCGACGGAACCGAUGGGCCUCUUUUU